CAGUCGCCACGGGAACACGGAGGGUCCGAGCGUUAAUCGGAAUUACUGGGCGUAAAGCGUGCGCAGGCGGUUUGUUAAGCGAGAUGUGAAAGCCCUGGGCUCAACCUAGGAAUAGCAUUUCGAACUGGCGAACUAGAGUCUUGUAGAGGGGGGUAGAAUUCCAGGUGUAGCGGUGAAAUGCGUAGAGAUCUGGAGGAAUACCGGUGGCGAAGGCGGCCCCCUGGACAAAGACUGACGCUCAUGCACGAAAGCGUGGGGAGCAAACAGGAUUAGAUACCCCUGUAGUCCCUGUCUCUUAUAA
Molecule: ribosomal RNA, 301 nt
Filed under: uncultured bacterium
Lineage: Bacteria
Description: partial 16S ribosomal RNA
Rfam family: Bacterial small subunit ribosomal RNA
Source: RNAcentral